GACGAACGCUGGCGGCGUGCUUAACACAUGCAAGUCGAACGGAAAGGCCCUGCUUUUGCGGGGUGCUCGAGUGGCGAACGGGUGAGUAACACGUGAGUAACCUGCCCUUGACUUUGGGAUAACUUCAGGAAACUGGGGCUAAUACCGGAUAGGAGCUCCUGCUGCAUGGUGGGGGUUGGAAAGUUUCGGCGGUUGGGGAUGGACUCGCGGCUUAUCAGCUUGUUGGUGGGGUAGUGGCUUACCAAGGCUUUGACGGGUAGCCGGCCUGUGAGGGUGACCGGCCACAUUGGGACUGAGAUACGGCCCAGACGCCUACGGGAGGCAGCAGUGGGGAAUAUUGCACAAUGGGCGGAAGCCUGAUGCAGCAACGCCGCGUGCGGGAUGACGGCCUUCGGGUUGUAAACCGCUUUCGCCUGUGACGAAGCGUGAGUGACGGUAAUGGGUAAAGAAGCACCGGCUAACUACGUG
This 468-nucleotide ribosomal RNA is filed under the name uncultured bacterium. Its description in RNAcentral is "partial 16S ribosomal RNA". It matches the Rfam family "Bacterial small subunit ribosomal RNA", at positions 28 to 507 of the family's 1533-position model. The record is from RNAcentral.